AAUAUUGGACAAUGGGCGAAAGCCUGAUCCAGCCAUGCCGCGUGUGUGAAGAAGGUCUUCGGAUUGUAAAGCACUUUAAGUUGGGAGGAAGGGCAGUAAGUUAAUACCUUGCUGUUUUGACGUUACCGACAGAAUAAGCACCGGCUAACUUCGUGCCAGCCGCCGCGGUAAUACGAAGGGUGCAAGCGUUAAUCGGAAUUACUGGGCGUAAAGCGCGCGUAGGUGGUUCGUUAAGUUGGAUGUGAAAGCCCCGGGCUCAACCUGGGAACUGCGCUUGUGACUGGUCAGCUAGAGUACGGCAGAGGGGGGUGGAAUUCCCUGUGUAGCGGUGAAAUGCGUAGAUAUAGGAAGGAACAUCAGUGGCGAAGGCGACCACCUGGACUGAUACUGACACUGAGGUGCGAAAGCGUGGGGAGCAAACAGG
This 424-nucleotide ribosomal RNA is filed under the name uncultured bacterium. RNAcentral's name for it is "partial 16S ribosomal RNA". It matches the Rfam family "Bacterial small subunit ribosomal RNA", at positions 360 to 776 of the family's 1533-position model. The record is from RNAcentral.